CCUACGGGUGACUGCAGUGAGGAAUAUUGGUCAAUGGACGGAAGUCUGAACCAGCCAUGCCGCGUGCAGGAAGACGGCUCUAUGAGUUGUAAACUGCUUUUGUACAAGGGUAAACCUGAAUACGUGUAUUCAGCUGAAAGUACUGUACGAAUAAGGAUCGGCUAACUCCGUGCCAGCCGCCGCGGUAAUACGGAGGAUCCAAGCGUUAUCCGGAUUUAUUGGGUUUAAAGGGUGCGUAGGCGGAUUGAUAAGUUAGAGGUGAAAUGUCCGAGCUUAACUCUGGAACUGCCUCUAAUACUGUUGAUCUAGAGAGUAGAUGCGGUAGGCGGAAUGUAUGGUGUAGCGGUUAAAUGCUUAGAGAUCAUACAGAACACCGAUUGCGAAGGCAGCUUACCAAUCUAUAUCUGACGUUGAGGCACGAAAGCGUGGGGAGCAAACAGGAUUAGAUACCCCUGCAGUC
This 460-nucleotide ribosomal RNA is filed under the name uncultured bacterium. RNAcentral describes it as "partial 16S ribosomal RNA". It matches the Rfam family "Bacterial small subunit ribosomal RNA", at positions 338 to 795 of the family's 1533-position model. The record is from RNAcentral.